Molecule: ribosomal RNA, 253 nt
Filed under: uncultured bacterium
Lineage: Bacteria
Description: partial 16S ribosomal RNA
Rfam family: Bacterial small subunit ribosomal RNA
Source: RNAcentral
UACCUGGGGUGCAAACGUUGCUCGGAAUUAUUGGGCGUAAAGCGCGCGUAGGCGGUUACUCAAGUCGGAUGUGAAAGCCCUCGGCUUAACCGAGGAAGUGCACCCGAAACUGAGUAGCUAGAGUACUAAAGAGGGUCGCGGAAUUCCCGGUGUAGAGGUGAAAUUCGUAGAUAUCGGGAGGAACACCGGUGGCGAAGGCGGCGACCUGGGUAGAUACUGACGCUGAGGCGCGAAAGCGUGGGGAGCAAACAGG